Molecule: long non-coding RNA, 451 nt
Filed under: Salvia miltiorrhiza (redroot sage)
Lineage: Eukaryota; Viridiplantae; Streptophyta; Magnoliopsida; Lamiales; Lamiaceae
Description: long non-coding RNA (SMIL_LNC011779)
Source: RNAcentral
AAAUACUUUUAAUUCAUCUUGCAGAUUUUAUUUUUUUGUUUAUGCUAGAAACCACUUUAUUAAGAAAGAAGGUUAAGAAAUAAAAUAAUUGAAAUAAAUACUUUAAUCUUGUGGUCCCUACUACUUUUACAACUACUUUAACUCUCCUAAAUACCCGUGUCCAAAAGUUUUGAGCCACGAAUGUUGGGACGGAGGGAGUAUAAAGUAGGGCUAUAAACUUAUGUUUUUGUGAAAGAGUGCUAUAAUAAGAUUUCUCUCAUUGCUUGUGCAUACCAAGCAUAGAAAUCCCUAAGAUUUGUCAUUCAUUUCCCACCCUCAUUUCAUUCUACUUCCAUUCCAUUCCACCCUUAUUCCAUUCCAUCAUAUGAAUCACCUAUAUGGGUGGUAUGCAUGAAUGGAAUGACCAUUUGUGUGUCCAUUCUCAAUUCUAUGGUUGGUACGGCGUAACGGG